Molecule: ribosomal RNA, 478 nt
Filed under: uncultured bacterium
Lineage: Bacteria
Description: partial 16S ribosomal RNA
Rfam family: Bacterial small subunit ribosomal RNA
Source: RNAcentral
GACGAACGCUGGCGGCGUGCUUAACACAUGCAAGUCGAACGGUAAGGCCCUUCGGGGUACACGAGUGGCGAACGGGUGAGUAACACAUGGGUGAUCUGCCCUGCACUUCGGGAUAAGCCUGGGAAACUGGGUCUAAUACCGGAUAGGACCACUGCCUGCAUGGGUGGUGGUGGAAAGCUUUUGCGGUGUGGGAUGGGCCCGCAGCCUAUCAGCUUGUUGGUGGGGUGAUGGCCUACCAAGGCGACGACGGGUAGCCGGCCUGAGAGGGUGACCGGCCACACUGGGACUGAGAUACGGCCCAGACUCCUACGGGAGGCAGCAGUGGGGAAUAUUGCACAAUGGGCGCAAGCCUGAUGCAGCGACGCCGCGUGAGGGAUGACGGCCUUCGGGUUGUAAACCUCUUUCAGCACCGACGAAGCGCAAGUGACGGUAGGUGCAGAAGAAGGACCGGCCAACUACGUGCCAGCAGCCGCCGUAA